This 237-nucleotide ribosomal RNA is filed under the name uncultured bacterium. RNAcentral's name for it is "partial 16S ribosomal RNA". It matches the Rfam family "Bacterial small subunit ribosomal RNA", at positions 540 to 776 of the family's 1533-position model. The record is from RNAcentral.
GUUGUUCGGAAUUACUGGGCGUAAAGGGUUUGUAGGUGGCCUUCUAAGUCAGACGUGAAAUCCCUCAGCUUAACUGGGGAACUGCGUCUGAUACUGGUUGGCUUGAGUGCAGGAGAGGAACGCGGAAUUCCAGGUGUAGCGGUGAAAUGCGUAGAUAUCUGGAGGAACACCGGUGGCGAAGGCGGCGUUCUGGACUGCAACUGACAGUGAGAAACGAAAGCCAGGGUAGCAAACGGG